UGCCCUGACAGGAGCUGCCGCUGCGCCCGCCGGCGCCCUUGACGCAGCGCCCCUCAUGCCGCCUCGAGAGGCGUUGGGGGGCAGCGAGACUCUGCCGGGCCCCGCCCCUCACUCUGCGCUCGGCUUCAGGGCUGUCUUGCGAGGGGGCGGUGGGAAAAGGCUCUGAGGAGAACCUCGCUCGCUGUCCCGCAUCGCUUUUCCUCACGUCGUUUUCCCUUUCCCUUGAGGGGACGGGGAGGUGAAGGGAGCCCGCCUUCCUCCUCGCACGUGGCGAGUCGUCGGUGGAGGACCUUUGAGGACUUGGGCAGUUACUGAAAUUUAGCCGUUGUAGCAGCAGGAGAAGAAAACCACAACCUCCUCAGGGGAAAUGCCAUGAAGGAAGACCCUUUUCACCUUGCUCCCUAUGGGAAGCAUGGUUACAGAGAGUGUCCCAAAUCGUCUAAAGCGCUGAAUGUUGGGCCUCCCCCCACAAUCCCCCAAAGUCAGAAAGAGAAGCCACAGAGGGAUUCACAAUUAGAGGAAGCCAACUACAUUGCACUCUGAAGCACAUUUAGUCAGAAGAAAACCACGCUGUGCUCCGCAA
Non-coding RNA from Podarcis muralis (Common wall lizard), 583 nucleotides. NCBI's taxonomy places the organism in Eukaryota, Metazoa, Chordata, Lepidosauria, Squamata, Lacertidae. The record is from RefSeq and is a predicted model, not a curated record.